RNAcentral lists this ribosomal RNA (421 nucleotides) under uncultured bacterium. RNAcentral's name for it is "bacterial SSU rRNA". It matches the Rfam family "Bacterial small subunit ribosomal RNA", at positions 30 to 450 of the family's 1533-position model. The record is from RNAcentral.
AUUGAACGCUGGCGGCAUGCCUUACACAUGCAAGUCGAACGGCAGCACGGGAGCAAUCCUGGUGGCGAGUGGCGAACGGGUGAGUAAUAUAUCGGAACGUGCCCAGUCGUGGGGAUAACGUAGCGAAAGCUACGCUAAUACCGCAUACGAUCUAUGGAUGAAAGCGGGGGAUCGCAAGACCUCGCGCGAUUGGAGCGGCCGAUAUCAGAUUAGGUAGUUGGUGAGGUAAAGGCUCACCAAGCCGACGAUCUGUAGCUGGUCUGAGAGGACGACCAGCCACACUGGGACUGAGACACGGCCCAGACUCCUACGGGAGGCAGCAGUGGGGAAUAUUGGACAAUGGGCGAAAGCCUGAUCCAGCAAUAGCCGCGUGAGUGAUGAAGGCCUUAGGGUUGUAAAGACUCUUUACUGGGAUGAUAAU